Molecule: ribosomal RNA, 274 nt
Filed under: uncultured bacterium
Lineage: Bacteria
Description: partial 16S ribosomal RNA
Rfam family: Bacterial small subunit ribosomal RNA
Source: RNAcentral
AUACGGAGGGUGCAAGCGUUAUUCGGAAUCACUGGGCGUAAAGGACGCGUAGGCGGGUUGGCAAGUCAGAUGUGAAAUCCUACAGCUUAACUGUAGAACUGCAUUUGAAACUGCUAACCUAGAGUAUGGGAGGGGGAGAUGGAAUUAGUGGUGUAGGGGUAAAAUCCGUAGAUAUCACUAGGAAUACCAAAAGCGAAGGCGAUCUUCUGGAACAGUACCGACGCUGAGAUGCGAAAGCGUGGGGAGCAAACAGGAUUAGAAACCCCAGUAGUCC